RNA transcript from Daucus carota subsp. sativus, 8504 nucleotides. It is a transcript of the gene named ras-related protein RABA4d, with no coding region annotated. NCBI's taxonomy places the organism in Eukaryota, Viridiplantae, Streptophyta, Magnoliopsida, Apiales, Apiaceae. The record is from RefSeq and is a predicted model, not a curated record. The transcript has 8 exons.
UGUGAACAUAAGCACUGCACAAGUAGUUAAGUCUCGCUGCUGUCGCGACUAAGUAGGUCUGAUUAGAGAAGGUUAAGUGAAUGAUUAUUGAUUAAUCUGUAUUAGACUAGCUAAUACACGUCAUUGAGAUUAAUAUGAUCCCAAUUAGAUAUCCAUCCCAUUUUCAUUAAUCAGUCGCAGUGGCAUCACUUCAGCAUAUUUUGUUUCUUUCCCUCUUAAACCCGCGUCUUAUCCAUUCAGCAAUAAUUAAAGAAGACUGUUGAGUAAAUAAUCACAAUUAGGCCUAACAUUCUCUAUUGGAAAACCAGAUGCACAUAAUUAUGUAAAGUACUGAUACAUUUAUAUAGAGAGCUGUGGCCUGUGGGCUCUUGUGUCUGAUUUCAUCAUCCAUGAUGCAAGCUAGCUAGCUGUUUGAUUGUGCCGUGGAGAAAAUAUUUGUAAAGCCCGUUGUACUAAAAGGUCAAUUGGACACGUCUGGAUUUUGGUGGGGAAGGGGGAUUUGAAAGAACUAGAAGCCACUUGGAUUAGGACAAACAUAAAUUAAAUAAUAAAUUUACGAGAUGGGAACGAAGGUGACACCACUGCUUUUUAUUUAUAAUUUAGUUGCGGGAUGGAGAAGGGUGUGAUUGGUUUGCUUCGACCGAUUGAAUUCUUGGAAUUCAAAGGAGACCUCACUUGUUCAUACUUCAUAGCAAGCAACAAAUUCUACUAACUAGUCAAGCCGGGGAAGAAUGGAGAUUACACUUCAAGCUGCGACCUAUAUCCAAAUUGAAAAAGUCAGAUAGGAGAUUUGUUUUUUUCAUUCUUGGAGUAACUUAUUUUUAUCUUGCAUUUUGUUUUGAUACUUUAGAAGGUUUUUGGUCCCUGAUUAUUGAGACAGUUAAUAAGAAUUGAAACCUUAAACUUCUGUGUUGGUAUAUGUAUUGGAUUUAUGGUAUGGAAUGAGAAUCGUAUUCUCACUUCAUGGAUGAAUCAUUUAUUUCACAAUCUUUAGAAUACUCAUUCUCAUUCUGAUACCAUUCAUUCUCGAUUCUCUUUUUCAUCUACUAUCCAAACGUACUUCUAAACGUCUUCUUAGAUAUCCUUAUUGACGUAGAUUUUACUUUUGAAUCAUACAGGUGAUGGUCAUCGAAGUCUUGCAGAAUGAAGCACAUAUUUUUUUUAAGAUAAUAGGGUUUCUAAAAUGCAAAAAAUAUAUAUUUGUUUUUAACGCCAAUUCUGAUUGGAAAUUUAGAAAAAUUUGAUGAGAGUUUUGUGUUUGUUAAACAGGGAAAGUUUUUUACUUGUUAAAUAUUGUGCUUGUUAGCGAGAGGUAAUGUCGUACUUAUUAAAAGAGUCAUUUGUUUUAGGACUUUAGUCUAUAUUCUCUGUGUUUGCCGUGAUUGAUAUUGGACAGAGGAUUGUAUUUGCUCUAUUGGGUUAAACAUGAAUACACACUGAGUAAGCACAUUUUGCUCAGCAAAUCAGUUAAAAAAAUAAGAUAUGUAAUGUCUUCCUUAACAAAAGAAAGGAAAAUGUCUCUUAUUUCGAAAAAUCUAUGACUCAGAUAUCCAUCUUUGUUCAAAUUAGCGUGAUAUUUUAUGUUCUCAAAUUUCGACAAUCUUGUUUCAAAAAUUAAUAAGAUUUGCACCAUCUUUGAUGAAUUAUUGUGAUAUCAGUUUGCAACUCAAAACUCAAUGAAAAUGUGAUGAUCCAACAUUAAUCUGACUUUUUAUCGUAUAGGAGUACCAUUCUUACAUUAUAAAAAGAUAAUUAGUAUAAGCUAGUCUUAUAAUUUAUUGAUGAAUAAGGUCGAUUCACCCUAAACAAGGCGAGGCUAAGUAGGAUUUUUUUUUUGAUAACAAAAUUUAAAAUAGGUGAUUGAGCUCAAGAAAUAUCGAAAAUAUUUUCUUCUUAAAUUGUCGAAGUGAGUAAGGCACACUUGUAGGCGAUGUCGGAUUUUUCAUUAUGGGUCAAGUCUUGUCUUGGAUAAAGGUGAUAUCUGGUGAAUACGGAGAGUGGAAUCAUCUGACAUAUCAUUUAUAGACCAAUCGAAUAUAAUAUAACGCUUUUCUUGCAAUCAGUUACUCCUUCUGUCCCUCUCAUUUCUUUACAGCUACUAUUUUGCGAUGUCCCUCUAAUUUCUUUACGUUACUAUAAAUAGUAAGUUUCUCCUAUCAUUACACCCAUUAUCUUCCUCUACUACCUCGUAUUUAACAAUAAAAACUACUAUUACACCCACUACUUUCCUCCACUAUCUCAAAUCUAUUAUUAAAUAUUGAUAGUUCCCACCACUUUACCCACUUUUCAUCUAACUUUACUUAUCUUUCAUACAUUAUCUUGGUCUCCGUGUCCCCCUCCAAUAUAAACAAUUGAGGGGGACGGAGGGAGUAUAUAACAUCAAAACGCACAAUAAAAUACAUAUCAAAUUCAAAAAAACUACUGCAUGACGGUCCAAGAGAUCCAACAAUUUUACAUCAGCUAGCAAGUUCAGUAUACAUUUGCCUAACACCUUCAGUAUAUAUUAGCUAGCAAAACUAGAAAUUUCGGCAUACAUUUGCCAGUAUUUACGAUAUCAUUUGAUGAAAUUUGUAAAAAUCUCGAACAUUCUGAAUCUUAUUCUCGGCAAAUACUAUAACUUUUUAUGCGUAGAAGUUGAAAUAGGAACAAUAUACUGUCAUAUUUCUUUUGACAAACAUAUACUGCUAUAUUUUAGUUUCAAAAAUUGAGAUAAUUCCCAAAUUUCCGAUUACCGUAAAAUCCAAAAGCCCCUCAACCCAACACAACCAAAAGACCCAUGACAAUAUAACAAGAGCGCGCAUUUUGAAGGGUUGUGGACUAGCCCAUUUAGGCCUCGGUCAACAGAUUGAGGCCCAAAUCAUCCCCUUCUUCCCCCGCUUUUCCUACUCAACACCGUCGACCGGAGCUGCCGGAGCUUCUCCCCCUCUACUAACCAAGAUUGCAUGUACAGGUACACGAAGAAGUGAUCAUUGCGAAGGCGCAUGUUGAAGAUGGCACAAGUCAGCAGAGAUACCCUAAUUGAUUUAUUGGUCGAGUCAUCCAGAACUUGAACAACGAGGCAUUGUGAUGGCCAUGAAAGUGAACAGACAGCUCCAAUUGACAGCUUGUAAACCUAAACCAAGAGGAAAUCGGAGAUGUAUGCAAAUCACUAAAGUAUUAAAGCAACGAGUACUCUACAAGGUAACAAUUACUUGAAGAAUAAAGUAACAUAUCCAUUUACAAGAGUCCACUAAUUUUUUUUCUAUUUGAUGUUAAUAAAGGAUCUUUAUGAUGCUUGCUUGACAUAAAGGCUUUACACAAUCUUUGUGGAUAAUCCGAAUUUUGUGUUGAAUUAUUUCUAUGAUUGCAUUCAUGUAUAUCAAUUUUCACACACAAACUGUUUAACUCUUACAAUGUUAUGCACAAAUUAACAGAGAUAAUAUAAGUAAAGCUUUGCGCUGUACCUCUCUUUCAUUGUACAUAGGUAUUUGGACCAACACCUUGGGAUAUUCUUUCUUCUUCUUUUCUACCUCAUCCUUUAAAGCGUCCAACCUGUACUUGGUGUAUCUUUUCUUCCCCAGAAACUUUAUGCCCAAGAUCACACACGUCAUGUAAAGCCUCUCUAUAAAAAGCAUGAUAGACAUGGCUACACAUAUGCAGAGUGCGACAUUCAGAAUUGGGACAAUUACAGUGACUCGUUUUUUCUGCCAAACGUCAGUUAGCAUUCCGGCAAUAUUGCUAGUUGCUUUCACCUCAGGCUCUUCAUGAAAUAUAUUCCUCAUGGUGAUCGAGUUGAUGCCUAACAAAUCACUGGAAUAUUAAAAGAGGCUCUUGAGAGAGAGAAAAAAUGGAAUUAGUACAAGCAGUGCAUCCAAUUGAGUGCGGAUAUGCAUUUGUGCUUAGACAGAUAGUAAAAAUUUUGGGUGUAGAUAAGGAUGUGCGCUGGGAUCAGGUGGAAGAACCGCGUGCGAUGAGUUAUAAAGUAGAUGUAGUAGGUGAGACGCUAGGUGUAUAGGCAGGUAAAGACGUUGCCGAGUAGUAACCUGUUAGCUGGAAUUUUGGCUUUUUCUGCAGCAUUAAGUGGAAGUCCGAUUAACAGAUGUUAGCUGGAAUUAUGACCUUUAGUGCCGUCAAUUAAUGGGGUGUAAAACCAAUCUAUCCAAGCUAAUGCUGUAGUUACUCUGAAAUAUUGCUUGUGUCUUACUAUUUAUUACCGCACUUAUUACUGACACCCAACUUAUUUUGUAAUUAUAUUUUUAUAUAGAUAAUUUGUUGUAUAUAUUAAAUCGCGGCACAUCAUGACAUAUCUAGAAUAUUAUGAUCCAUAUUUUGUAUCAAUUUGAGUUAGGAAGUAAUAAAGGGACCAUAUUAAUGUAACAUUGUGCUAUUAUUUAUUAAGUCACUCACAAAUUAGGAAGGUCUUAUUGCCGAGAUGUCUCUGUCAUUUUCGAUAUUCUGUACUAGAUCACCUUGCGAGAUGGCCCAUCUAAGGCAGGAUGUCAUGUUACUUAUUAGAUGCUUCUAGCUAUGGCCCAUCGUGGCUGGGAGCAUGAAGAACUUCUGUCAUUGUUCGCUUUAGUGCCAUCUUAAUUUUGCAUAUUCUAAAUAUUCUCUGGAACAUAUUUGCUUGCUUUUUCUCAUGCACCUCUCUGCAUAUAUCACAUCUAUUUAAGGUCUUUUUCAAAUCCUUACUAUGUUGCCAUGUUACAAUGAUUUGUUACAAGGUUAAUUUAAUCUAGGAAAAUUCAUUCAUUUGCUCUAUUAUCUGAUUUUUAUGGUUGUAACUGACUGCUUAACAGAUGAGGAAAAAAAUAAUUAACUUUAUAUGGUCAAAGAAUUCUGUGAUGGAAUUUCUUGCUCCUGGUUGGAUGCUAAAUUAUACUCCUUCCGUUUCACAAUAGUCAUUGACUGUUGACUUUUGUUAGUCAAACUAACCAAACUUUGACUGAAAUUUACAUAAAUUAUUCUCCUUCCAUCCCACAAUAAUAAUCCUAUUUUAACUAUUAUGUACUACCUCAACCCACUCAUUUAUAUACAGUUUUUUCCCAUUGUUAGGGGCUUCUAUAAAGUAUUGUUCUAUUACUUAUUUUUUUUUUUAAAUUUGUUUCUUAAUAAAAAUUUAAACAUUACUCCCCUGUCCCAACCAUUUCUUUACGGUUAUCUUUUUGGGGUGUCCCAUCCAAUUCUUUACAUUUCAAAACUUAUCAAAAAUAGUCAAUGGGUCCAACCACUUCCCCACUAAUCUUCCCUUUUCACACUACUUUUACUCUAUUAUUACCCUUUUAUACAUUAAAAAUCAAUGGGUCCCACCACUUCACCCACUUUUCUUUCUCUUUUCCACUACUUUAUACAUAUUUUUUAACCUCCGUGCCCAAACCAUACGUAAACAAAUGGCUGGGACGGAGGGAGUAGUUUUUUAUUCAGGAGGAAAAAAAAUCGAAAUAAGUUAUUGAACUAUAUUUUACGAGUCUUAGAAUAUGUGUCGAGCCCUGUCUCCCAAGCACAUGCAAUUAAUCGGGACGGAGGGAGUAGUCAAGUUAAUCAAAGUUUGACUACAAAUAAAAAAAAAUAUGAAUCUAUAAUUUAAAAAAUUUAAACUAAAAUAGUAAAUUAGAUAUUUUUUAGUAAUAUGAUUUUCAAAAUUUUCUUAAUCAUAUAGUAUGUGUAAUUUACGGUCAAAUUUGGGUCAAGUUGACCAUAGGCCAAUCAAAACAUGACUAUUAUUUUGGAUUGAAGGGAGUAUAAUUAAAAAAAUUAAAAGUUUAUCACCAAAAACUUAUGUAAUUCUCAUUGAACAGUAUUUUUCAACUUCUCAAAAAUGUAAAAGAAUUAUUUAUUAUAUGUGGUCAAAGUUUGGUCAAUUUGACGGGCUUAAGUCAAAAAUGGACAAACGGAGGGAGUAGCUCUUAUUCACGGAUUAGUUAUGAGAGUAUGAACAUUGUUUUUUGUGAGACUACCAUCUUGCUUCUAAUCUUUCCUCUGUUGUCCCGGAUACCUGGGUUCCAGUUUCGCUCAUCUUCAAGAAGUAUUAGAACAAAUACUCAUUUGUAAGGCAUAUAAGCCUACAUAUUCAAAAAAAAAGAACACUUUGGAAUAUAGUGUGCCUCUCUUAAUCGUGGAUGAGUCAUGAGGGUAUGAACUUCGUCAUCUUAGGGGUCAUUUGUUAAAUCUGAAUCAUAUUUUUUGAAUGAGUGAAAAAUCUGAAUGACUAUAAUUCUGAACGAAUAAAUUUUGGAUCAUUUGUUAAAUUGAAAUCUGAAUGACUAAAUUUUUUAUAUUAAUUUUAUUUCAUAAAUAUUGUAUAUUUAAAUGACAAAAACUUCUAAGUGAUAAUUUGUUAAUUUAAUAUGAAAGAAUAUAUAAUGCAAAUUUUCAAUCAAUAAUUUCGUAUAACGGUAAUAAUAUGCAUUAAUAUAUUGACUAUUAUAUCAAGUAUAAAGUUUAAAUCUCGUUAAAAAAAUUAAAUAUCUAUAUUAUUAAUUUUACAACUAUAAAUAUAUUAUGAUAUAAUAAGUUACAUGUUAAAAUAUACUAUAUUAAAGUGAAUAUGUGAUAACAUGGUACGCAGGUAGUAUAUUUGGACCAUUUAGUAAAAUUUUACGGCCUUUGUCGUCCAGCUGAAUUUUUUUUCGUCCAGCUCAUUUAGAAAGUAAACAAACAACAUGGAUGAUUAACAUUUGUAUCGUUCAGAGACAUUUGACUCAUCCACCCGUUAACAAAUGAAGCCUUACUUUUAUCGUUUUCUUAAAUAUACUCUAGAACAUAGUUGUGUGCCUCUCUUCACUUCACCACCAUACCUUUGAAAUUUUGCAUACAUUUUUGUGAUGAGCUGAGAUAAAACGCAAAUAAUAAGUAUCAAGGAAGUUUUGUUAUUUUGGCAUAUAUGAACGAUUUUCCCUGUAAUAUCAUCUUCAGUAUUUAUGUAUUCAUUAUUUAUUUAGAAGUUGAUAUAGUUCCAAGUAUAGGUGAGGGGAGAGGAAAAAAACUAUAGACCUCUUCAAGUACUUGCAGCUUCUUAAAUUUUUUGAAAGGUGUAUGUAUAUAUAUCACAAUUAGUUGUUAGGUGGGAGCAAAAUCCUAAAGUAUAGAUUGAUAUAAUUUUAAAAUUAUGGAUUGAAAAAAAGAUUAGAUUAUCAAAUACACAAAACAGUUUCAGACUCCUUCUCUCUCCGCUCUUCAAGGCGAGUGUAUGUAGCUCUAAGAAACAAAUAAAAAAUGAUUAAUAUUCGUUUACUCAUGACUGAAGCUACAAUUGAAAAUAAGUAAACCUUGGUUGGUGUUGCUCUGUUCUUGAUUUCUGUAAGGCUCAUAAAAGACACAGUGCCUGAUACCUGCACAAAGAAUGCUGGCCGCAGGUAAUGAUAAAUGCACAGGGUAUGCCUCUUUGAAUUUUUUUCAGUUUUUUUUGGCAACUGACAGUACAGUUCCCUGCAAUUUGCAGAUAUUUUGAGAAAGUCUGUUCAAAAUGCUUUCUGUAUAUGUUUGAGCAUGGUACUUGUCUAGUUGUCCCACUCUUCAGGUUUAUCGUAUUUGAAGGGGAAAAAAAUCAAUGCUGAUAAUCAAUCGAAAUGAUGGAUAGUAUGUGCUUAAAGGGAUAUCUAGAAUUCCUAGAUGUGGUGGACAUCCUUAAAACCUGGUCUGGAAUUUGAAGAAAUGAUGUAACAAUGCGGUAUAUAGAGCCAGGUAUAUGACCAGAUGAUAGUCGUUAUGGGGAGAACCCAAAUAGGUUUUAAGACAUACUCAAUUCCAGGUUAUUUUGAAGCCUGAUCCUAGAAAUUCACAGGAUUUGUUUAUUCAAAGCUUGGUUUUGGUAUCAGACUAUCUCAAGAAGUUGCUAGAUAAUUCAUGGAUGUUUAAUUGUCUUCUUAAUGGUAGGCCUGAUCAAGAAUUUCAGCAGUACAAAUGGAAGCCAAAGGGCUGCAGUUUACCCAGGUAGAUCAGCAACAAGUGCAUAUUACUACGGAGCAGUGGGAGCAAUGGUAGUAUAUGACAUGACAAAGCGGCAGUCAAUUGAUCACAUAACUGGAUGGCUCGACAAACUCAGGGCGCAUGCUGACAAGAAUAUUGUAAUUAUGCUCAUAGGCAACAAGUCUGACUUGGGAAUUCUUAGAGCAGUACCAACUGAAGAUGCCCAGGAGCUCGCAGAGAAGGAAAAACUAUGAAUGGAGACAUCAGCCCGUGAGGCAACUAACGUCGAGACUGCCUUUGUGACGGUCCUAACAGAAAUAUAUCAUAGGAAAAAAGACACUCACUGCUAGUGAUGUAGAUUAUGCAAAGUCUGCAACUCUCAAGGGAACCAGUAUAGUCAUUCCUGGCCAGGAGCGGAAUACUAGUGCAAGUAGUGGUGGGCCUGGUGGCCGUUGCGCAUAAAUCUUUAUCUUUUGCCUUUAAGGUCUUGUUUUUUACUUAGGAAUAUAAGUAUGUUAGGUUAGGAUAUUACUGUUCAAACGGAAAUUUUAAAAUUUUCAGCCAAAAAGAUUUUCUGCAAUCUAGCCAAGCCAGGCUCAAAGAAAGUCUUUUUUGUU